AUUGCUUCUCAGUCUUUGGGCUAAGACCAAGUGCAGUGUCUGUUCUUAUCAGUUUAGUAUCUGAUAUGUCCUCUAUUUGAGGACAAUAUAUUAAAUGGGUUUUUGGAUCUAGGAGUUAGAGUAGGAGCUUGCUUCAUCUACUUCAUGCAUUGACCUAGUUUUGCAGUACCUCCAUAAAGGUAUAAAAAAG
Molecule: small nuclear RNA, 190 nt
Organism: Sorex araneus (European shrew)
Lineage: Eukaryota; Metazoa; Chordata; Mammalia; Eulipotyphla; Soricidae
Gene: U2
Rfam family: U2 spliceosomal RNA
About the family: U2 is a small nuclear RNA (snRNA) component of the spliceosome (involved in pre-mRNA splicing). Complementary binding between U2 snRNA (in an area lying towards the 5' end but 3' to hairpin I) and the branchpoint sequence (BPS) of the intron results the bulging out of an unpaired adenosine, on the BPS, which initiates a nucleophilic attack at the intronic 5' splice site, thus starting the first of two transesterification reactions that mediate splicing.
Source: Ensembl